RNAcentral lists this ribosomal RNA (699 nucleotides) under unidentified microorganism. Its description in RNAcentral is "bacterial SSU rRNA". It matches the Rfam family "Bacterial small subunit ribosomal RNA", at positions 51 to 762 of the family's 1533-position model. The record is from RNAcentral.
ACACAUGCAGUCGAACGAUGAAGCUGGAGCUUGCUCUGGUGGAUUAGUGGCGAACGGGUGAGUAACACGUGAGUAACCUGCCCUUGACUCUGGGAUAAGCGUUGGAAACGACGUCUAAUACNGGAUACGAGCUUCAGCCGCAUGGCUAGGAGUUGGAAAGAAUUUCGGUCAAGGAUGGACUCGCGGCCUAUCAGCUAGUUGGUGAGGUAAUGGCUCACCAAGGCGACGACGGGUAGCCGGCCUGAGAGGGUGACCGGCCACACUGGGACUGAGACACGGCCCAGACUCCUACGGGAGGCAGCAGUGGGGAAUAUUGCACAAUGGGCGCAAGCCUGAUGCAGCAACGCCGCGUGAGGGACGACGGCCUUCGGGUUGUAAACCUCUUUUAGCAGGGAAGAAGCGAAAGUGACGGUACCUGCAGAAAAAGCACCGGCUAACUACGUGCCAGCAGCCGCGGUAAUACGUAGGGUGCAAGCGUUGUCCGGAAUUAUUGGGCGUAAAGAGCUCGUAGGCGGUUUGUCGCGUCUGCUGUGAAAACGCGAGGCUCAACCUCGCGCCUGCAGUGGGUACGGGCAGACUAGAGUGCGGUAGGGGAGAUUGGAAUUCCUGGUGUAGCGGUGGAAUGCGCAGAUAUCAGGAGGAACACCGAUGGCGAAGGCAGAUCUCUGGGCCGUAACUGACGCUGAGGAGCGAAAGCGU